RNAcentral lists this long non-coding RNA (5644 nucleotides) under Homo sapiens (human). RNAcentral describes it as "non-protein coding lnc-TANK-4:3". The record is from RNAcentral. Lineage: Eukaryota; Metazoa; Chordata; Mammalia; Primates; Hominidae.
CCAAGGCCUUUUCCAGAUCAUGAGUCAAAUUUCCCCAGCUUUUGAUUAUGGUUUAAACUAUACUGGCAAAGAAUUGAGUAAUAUAAAAAAGAACAAAGAGCUUAGGCUCUAGUCUUGAGAAGUUUACAUUCUGAGAUUGUUCCAGGUUACAAUGAACUUCCACCCUAGGACUCUCGAGUAUGAUUUGGAAUUGUGGAAGUGAUAAUCAUAUCACAAUCUUUGUGAUAAUCAUAGCAUCACAUUACUUUAGAGCACCAAGAGACUUACAGAAUCAUGCUCUCUGAUCAGAGCAUUUUACGAAAGGGAAAACUGAACUAAGCCAAAAACUUAGUUUGGAGGGGACACCCUAACCAGCCUCAAGAUCACUGAAGCCCUGUACAAGGUUUUUCUCCCACACUGGAAUGUCACUGCUGGUGUCCUAGGUAGGUCUCCAGAGAAAGAACUCAUUUCAACCUUAAUUAAAGCAUGCAAUUAUUCAAUUCUAUAUAUGUCUGCAUAGAACGAGAGAUAGACAUAGCUAUAGGUAGAAAAUCAAUAUCAUAAACUUCAUUGAUCUUGUUUUUAAUGAAGAGAAGAAUGAAGGAGAAAACAAAAAGUGAUCCCAUAAUCUCAGAGCCCUGAUAACUCCUGUUGAUACUUAAAUCUUUAUAUUUUUAAUACCUUUAUCUCUUCUGUUUUAAUAAUAUAAAUGUAGUCACCAUUUCUUAACCAGUUACUAUGCACCAGGUCUUGUUCUGGGUGAUAUAUGUAUUUAAACUUCAGAAUAACCUCAUGACAUAGGUAUGAUUAGUCUCAUUUUACAGAGGAAGUGCUGGAAGCUUCAGGAAGUUUGCUCAAAAGGGAGACUAGGCCAAAGCCUGGGUAUGGCUGGGUCAGUCCUCAAACGCAAGCCAGUGAGGUUGGAGCUGUUUCUCUGGUCCCACACUGCAUCUCCAUCUUCCCUUUGGGAAAUAAAACUCCAGUUUCCUUCCUCAUCCAAGACAGAUACUUAAACCCUAUAUUUAUGAGGACAGCUAAUAAUAUCCCAAUUACAAUCACUGUAUUUAGAUAAAGAUGAAAUAGCAUCAUUAAUAUUUAAAUAAUAAACUUGAUUACAGUUUUAAAUCAUUUAAGAUGAUUUUAUUUUUCAAUAAGGCAUUUGAGGAUCUCCCUGAGCAAGGCCUGGGGCAGGGAACUGUGCCUCUCCUAUUGUCAGUUGAAGAUCUUAACCUCACAGGAAAAGCAAGCACCUCAGUGGUUUUUCUUGUCCAUUGCCUGCCCAGAAUGCCUUAUCCAAAGCAGAACAGAUUUGUAGAUUUGUAGGGGAAGGUUGGUUGCACCAGGUGCAGCAUCGUGGCUCCUUUUGGAAGGAACAGGCAGAGCUGCGAGGAGACUCUGCUGUGUUCUUCCACAGAGGUGGCGCAGCUGAAUCACCAGGGCUUGGCCCAGAAAUGUGACUGGGAUUCCAAGCACAGCCUCUUUCAGGAAAGGGACACAGAGGCAAGCAGAAAUGUUCGUGCUCCUUCAGAUAAUUCAUUCCUGGCUCCAUUCACCCUGCCCCUGCUCCACCCCCUGGCUCCCAAGUCAAGGCAAGAUUUCUUGUCAGGGUCUUUCGCAGCCAAAUCAUAUAUAUGACUUAAAGAGGUUUGUUGGCCCUGGCAGUUCCUGGAAUCUUUCCAGAAAUAUAGCCAGAGGGCCAGAGUGGUGCUGCCAGUCAUCCUCUUGGGAUCCAAGCUCUGAGAGAGCCAGGAGAUGGCUUUCCAGAGCUCCACCCUGCCAGCUCUGAUUCACAUCUGUGUUCUCCUCUCUGGGGAAACUCGCAGGGUGGAGUCCAGAGGAGGGAAGGAAAUCUUUGGGUCUGCUCUUUAUCCAUUGUCCCAUCAUUCUGGCGACUGUCAGUCUUUAUUUUUUUAAACGUUAAACAUAUAAACAGCAUUGCUUCAUUUUUCUUUAUAGGCGAUAAUGCUCCAUUAUGAAGAAAAAAAACUUGUUUCUUGCUUCCAAUGGAAACGAGAUGUUUACUUUUUACUUCAAACUGAGAGAUUUCAGAAUAUGCUAAGUGAGUUCUGCCUUUCUGACUUAAGUUAUCCUGUUUUUCAUUUUCCUAUUUUCCCACUGACAGAGAGUGCAAUUAUUGCUACCCUUUUUGACUAGCUAGCUGACUCUUUCUCCUAAAAACGUGAAUUAUAACUAGAAAAGGCUACUUGGCGGGCCUGUCUAUGGUGAGCUCUUGCCUGUGAGAGUUAACUAGAAUGCUCCUAGUAAUAUUUCGUUGUAAUUUUUCUGUUGUCGUGUUCUCAGAAGCCCCAAUCCAUCAGUCUAUUCAAUUGCCUCCACUGGACAACACAGCAAAAUUCAUUCCAGGAGACUUCCUUUUUAAUAGUUUUCACUUUGACCCAUCUUAUUUCUGUGAGUUAUGCUGAAAUGUACACAUAUAUACAACUCACUGUUGAUUCCCAGCAGCCAGAAUGUCGCAGAGGUGCCACCACCAUAUACAUUUAUGCAUGUAAAUGUAUAUAUACAUAUAGACCUGGUAAGGUUCAUGCACUCAAUUAUCCGGCAUCGUUGAUGUCAGGAACUCAGAAUUGCUUUGAGGAAUUCAGAAUUCUAUUUUUAGACUUUUUCAUAAAUGGAAACAUAAGUGACAGUCAUGCUGUAGAAUACAAGAUGUUGUCCUUAUAUUAACUAGGAGAACAACAUGGAUGCUAAUAUAUAUAGUUCACUGUAGUUUGGUAUUAUUGAUAUUCCUUUCCUUUUCUGUGUUCAGCUUCUUCACCAAAUUAAAAUGCUUUGCAAAGUGUGGCUUGUUUAUCAUCUUCUUUCUCAAUCAUUUAGAAUGUGGGUGUGCAUGUUCCUGUUUCCUAUUUACUAAAUUCAAACAUAGAAAUUUAAACAUGCUUAGAGGCUAAGACAGAGGAUAAUACCUCCUGGUGUUCCUAACACAUUAUCUCUCUCAAAACCAUUUUAUUACCAAAUAACACUCAGAGCUUUGUGGAACAGAAAGUAUGCUUCUUUAUAGAGACAAUAAGUCCUAGAACUCAAGCAAGUUGUUCCAUGGUCAUUGAUAACAAGUAUAACUCAAAAGUCCCAUUACUGUCAUAUGGUUUUUUUCCAUAAACAAACUGAUAGAAAACUAGCAAACUUGACUGAAAAAUGUAAAUUCUUGGGAGAAUAAUUUUUCAUGUAAAAACCUACCGCUAAUACCUGUUCCACACUGUCCUUAAUGCUAAGAAGGAAUAAGAUGUUCCUCUAUAUAUCUUCAUUCUAAAUAAUUCAUAGUUCUUGAUACACACAUGGACCAAGAUCUAACUUUUUUUAUUAAAUACACAGUGUUCUCAAAGCAGGUUGUUGGCUUUUGAGGCCAUGAAAGUUUUGGGAAGAUUUUAUCUGUGACACCUGCAUGCUAUACUUAGCCAUAUGGCAGUGUACCAAUGCCAGCGAAGAUGUUUGGGAAAGUAAUCGCACCACAGGUGACCCAAGCUCUGUCCUAUGUAACUCAAUUCUGCUGGACCACUAGUGUGAAGAGAAUGGAUGAUGCCAGAAUUCUGAAAAAAGUAUAGAAUCUCUAGAUUAGAAGAGACCUUAAAUUUCACCCAAUCCCCACCACACUGAUGCAAGCAUCCUUGAAAAGCAUUUUAAAGUAAGACAAUAUCACAAACUCAGGAAGCAUAAUAGCAGACAAACCACCACCAUCUAUAAAUAAAAUGUUUUAGGUACACCAAAGAGAAUGUGCUUGAAACUCAGAAAAGUCAUGCUAUAAAGGUUUUGCUCCUCUUUGAAAUUUGAGAGGUAAUAGUUCCUCCAAUGCUUUCCAAUACUUCUGCAAUUCAAGGGCAAGCAUUACAGAUUUCCGACUGCUUCUUUCCCACUCCCUUAUUCAGCAAUAUUUAUAUAAUGCCUACCAUGUGAAAACUAAUCUCUCAAAGUUAGGAUUAACACUUAUGGCCACCACAAAAGUGAUUUUUGUUCCCAUAAGAACUUCCAUUCAAACUUUUAAAAAAUCAUGUCCCUCAUAGGUGGCCAUAGAUCAUAAGCACUCCAACUUUUAAGAAAAAAAAAUUCCAUAAUAACAAAUACUAAAGGAGAAUCUCAUGAAGAAUGACAAAAAAUUUUAGACAUUUUUAAUAACUCACUAGUUACUGUUACUAGAAUAAAUAGGCACUAAAAUGUAAUAAAUAUCAGAGCCCUAAAAUAAAAUACCAGGGUAUUGUUCAGUAUGAGUAAAGAGAGGUGAGAAUAAAGAGAAUGGGGUAAUGAAAUCAUGUGAACAUGUCAAAGAAGGUGCUGAAGAAAGUUUAAAUUAUCAACCAGUAGGAAGGUUAUGAAAGGUCAAAGGGCAGAGAAAGGGAAUUUCGUGAAAAGGUUUUCUGGAGCAAGAUGAAAAUUCCCAUGAUCCUCCCUGUCUCCAGUAGAAGGAGUUGCUGCCACUUCUCUCAGAAGUAUGUGUCCCCUGAAUUUGGAAGGCUUGGUCAUCAGGAACUAGACUCAACUGAUAAAUUGCAAGCAGUCCAUGGGAGCAUAGAGAUGGCUGCAGCUGGGAUGUAAAUGCAAUUCACUCCCACAUUGGGUCAAAAAGGCAUGUCUCAGGGACCAGAUGUACAGUCCAUGGUAGAAAUGCCAGGCAAGGAGCAUUCGAAAUAGGAAUCUGUCUAAGAGAGCAGCCUGCCAAGGUGAAAGGACCAUAGGAAUAAGGGAUUGAUACUAGAACAUCAGGGGGCAUCACGAGUGGUCCCAGCAAGUAUAUGUACCCUGAGUCUUAGACCCUUAUCAUUAAUUUCCAUAACUCUAACUUCCAGGCAUUAGAUCAAAGCCCAUUGUGUCAGGUGGGCAUAGUUGUUGGUGUUUACUCUCUGAAGUGCCUCGCCUCCAGAGGCUAUGUAUGGAAUGUAGCAGUAAUGAGAUAACUAAGAAUGACAAGUCUGGCCAGGCAAUAUAAAGUAAAAAUGACAAAAUUACAAAAAGGAAUCGGCAAAUCUACAAUCAUAGUGGAAGAUUUUCAUACGCCUUUCUCAGAAUGUAGCAGGCAGAGAAAAAAAUACACACUAAGGAUUUAUAAAAUAUUUCAGCAACACAAUUAAAGAGCUAAUCUAAAAGAUAUACUAUAUGUAUAAGCCUGCAUAUGAUGAAUAGAAAAUAGAAAAUAUACUUUUUUAUCAAGCCUAAGUGGAACUGUCUGAAAAAAUGACUACACACCAGGCCACAAAUCUAUUUAUAUUACAUAUCUAUAUCAUAAAAGUAACCUGCUAAUCAAAGAGGAAAUCACAAUGAGGAAAUUAUUUUAAAAAAACAAACUUAGCCAGAUGUGGUGGCAAGUGUCUGUAGUCCCAGCUACUCAGGAGGCUGAAGUGGGAGGAUCACUUGAGCCCAGCCUGGGCAACAUAGCAAAAGCCCAUCUCAAAAACAAAACAAAACAAAACCCUGAAACUAUACAACAAUAAUAGUGCUCUAUAUGCUAAAAAUGUGGGCAUAUUUCUAAAGCAAUACUUUAGCCUUAAGUGAAUUUACCUAACAAGAAAGAUAAAAAAUAAAUGAGCUAAGAAUUCCACUGAAGACUGGGAGACGAAAAGAAUAAAUGCAAAGUAGAAGAAAGGAUGUAAUAAAGAUAAUAGCAGAAAUUAAUAAAAUUUUUAAAACUCCACUAGAGAUGAUGAGGCCACCAAAAUAU